RNAcentral lists this ribosomal RNA (227 nucleotides) under uncultured Lactobacillus sp. Its description in RNAcentral is "partial 16S ribosomal RNA". It matches the Rfam family "Bacterial small subunit ribosomal RNA", at positions 135 to 355 of the family's 1533-position model. Lineage: Bacteria; Bacillati; Bacillota; Bacilli; Lactobacillales; Lactobacillaceae. The record is from RNAcentral.
AGAUCGGGAUAACACCUGGAAACAGAUGCUAAUACCGGAUAACAACAGAUGAUGCCUAUCAACUGUUUAAAAGAUGGUUCUGCUAUCACUCUUGGAUGGACCUGCGGUGCAUUAGCUAGUUGGUAGGGUAACGGCCUACCAAGGCGAUGAUGCAUAGCCGAGUUGAGAGACUGAUCGGCCACAUUGGGACUGAGACACGGCCCAAACUCCUACGGGAGGCAGCAGCA